This 468-nucleotide ribosomal RNA is filed under the name uncultured bacterium. RNAcentral's name for it is "partial 16S ribosomal RNA". It matches the Rfam family "Bacterial small subunit ribosomal RNA", at positions 28 to 507 of the family's 1533-position model. The record is from RNAcentral.
GACGAACGCUGGCGGCGUGCUUAACACAUGCAAGUCGAACGGAAAGGCCCUGCUUUUGUGGGGUGCUCGAGUGGCGAACGGGUGAGUAACACGUGAGUAACCUGCCCUUGACUUUGGGAUAACUUCAGGAAACUGGGGCUAAUACCGGAUAGGAGCUCCUGCUGCAUGGUGGGGGUUGGAAAGUUUCGGCGGUUGGGGAUGGACUCGCGGCUUAUCAGCUUGUUGGUGGGGUAGUGGCUUACCAAGGCUUUGACGGGUAGCCGGCCUGAGAGGGUGACCGGCCACAUUGGGACUGAGAUACGGCCCAGACUCCUACGGGAGGCAGCAGUGGGGAAUAUUGCACAAUGGGCGGAAGCCGGAUGCAGCAACGCCGCGUGCGGGAUGACGGCCUUCGGGUUGUAAACCGCUUUCGCCUGUGACAAAGCGUGAGUGACGGUAAUGGGUAAAGAAGCACCGGCUAACUACGUG